This 253-nucleotide ribosomal RNA is filed under the name uncultured bacterium. RNAcentral's name for it is "partial 16S ribosomal RNA". It matches the Rfam family "Bacterial small subunit ribosomal RNA", at positions 524 to 776 of the family's 1533-position model. The record is from RNAcentral.
GACAGAGGCCCCGAGCGUUAGUCGGAAUUACUGGGCUUAAAGGGUGCGUAGGCGGGCGUGUAAGUGCUUUGUGAAAGCCCUGGGCUCAACCCAGGAACCGCAGGGCAUACUGCACGUCUUGAAGUAGCUAGAGGCCGGUGGAACGAUCGGUGGAGCGGUGGAAUGCGUAGAUAUCAGGAGGAACACCGGUGGCGAAGGCGGGUCUCUGGGCAACAACUGACGCUGAGGAGCGAAAGCGUGGGGAGCGAACAGG